UACAGAGGUCUCAAGCGUUGUUCGGAUUCAUUGGGCGUAAAGGGUGCGUAGGUGGUGCCGUAAGUCAGGUGUGAAAUCUCGGGGCUCAACCCCGAAACUGCAUUCGAUACUGCGGUGCUUGAGGACUGGAGAGGAGACUGGAAUUUACGGUGUAGCAGUGAAAUGCGUAGAUAUCGUAAGGAAGACCAGUGGCGAAGGCGGGUCUCUGGACAGUUCCUGACGCUCAGGCACGAAAGCCAGGGGAGCAAACGGG
This 253-nucleotide ribosomal RNA is filed under the name uncultured bacterium. Its description in RNAcentral is "partial 16S ribosomal RNA". It matches the Rfam family "Bacterial small subunit ribosomal RNA", at positions 524 to 776 of the family's 1533-position model. The record is from RNAcentral.